This 2897-nucleotide long non-coding RNA is filed under the name Panax ginseng (ginseng). RNAcentral describes it as "long non-coding RNA (PGIN_LNC003994)". The record is from RNAcentral. Lineage: Eukaryota; Viridiplantae; Streptophyta; Magnoliopsida; Apiales; Araliaceae.
UCUAAGAGAUUCCAAACUAUAAGAACUUCUAUAAAGAUAUGGCAAACGGGCCUAAAGCCCAUGGGCCGGCCUAGUCCGCCAAAAAAUGAGCUUUGGGCCGCAUUUUUUCAGCCCACAGAAAUCCGGGCCUUUUUAGCCCGACCCGUUCACUUUAAGCCCAAAAAAAGUCAAAAAUAGGCAUAAAACAUCCUCGGCCCGCAGGCCGGGCCGCCCCGCCCGUGAACCCACGGGCUUUGGGCUUACAUUUUCUGCCCACCAAAAUCCGAGCCGUUUUGGCCCGGCCCGUUUGACAGGUGUAAAGAUAUCCUAGCGUACUGUGUUUUAACUAUGUAGCAUAUCAUCGUGUACCAAAAUAGACCACGUUCCAACAAACAUUGGUCGUUCUUGUGCUUCCAUGCUCACUUCCAAUAUGGUUACUGCCCCAUCCCUGCUUUUCACUGAAAGUGGCACCUGUUUUCCAUCGCCUACCACCAGUUAAUACUGCUUAUCUUGGAGCACCUUCACCCUAAUUAAGCAUAAACCAUAAGCAGAAAGUGAAGCAAUCACCAUUUCAAUGUAAAUGUAGCUUUAUCAUUUUUAAAAGUUAUGAUUCCUGCAAACCCAAUUGUAACAAGUGAGAUCAAAACAUCAAUCAAUGCACUCUUUCCUGGCCUUUUUCUUCACUAUUAUUGCUAAAACAGUUUCAAUGAAAUAAACAACAGCCACAGGAAAAGCUGUCCAAGCAAGCCCACUGAAACAGCUUGCUAAAGUUAGGAUGAUGAAGUUCACCAUCGUAACAAUAAGAUUUAGAUCACUAAUCCGAUCAUUGACCCAAGCCUUGCACUUGCACAAAGGGAGAAUGGCCUGAUAAUCAAACAAAGACAUUGGUGAUCAAACCCUUAUACAAAUCAGAAUUCCAAUGAAGAUAGGAUAGGCACUAAGGCUAUGUUUGUUUCCAAAGAUUAUAAUCUCGAAAUUAUAAUCCAUGGAUUAUAAUCUCAAGACUAUUAAUUUUAGGAUUAUAAUCCCGAGACUAUUAAGCCAUUUUAUGAUCCCUUGACUAAUAGUUCCAAGUCUAAAUUUGAAAACAAACAAGAAACAACUUGGAAACAAACAAGAAACUUGGGUUAUAUUUGUUUACAAAGAUUAUACUUCAGAUAUGACUAUUAAUCACAAAUGUUUGUUUAUUUUUAAAUUUGAGCUUGGGACUAUUAGUCAUGAUAUUAUAAAAUACCUUUAAGAUGUGGGAUUAUUUAAAUAUCAUGUGUAUUAUAAUCCUUGCCAUUUGAAAUUAAAAAUUGCUAGACAAAAUUAACCUCAAUCUUUUUUUAAAAUGACCAUAAUAUCAUGUUCUAUCCGUUUAUCAGUGAAAAAAUAUACGAUAAAUUAUAUAAGUUAAAUUAAAACUUCUAGAUCGAUCGUAAUCCUGCAAUCUCCGCUAUUGUUAUUGGCCUGUUGGUACUGGGUUUAAAAUUUGUGGACUUCAGGGACGGAUGUCCUAGAAAAAAGAAUAAUAAAAUAAAAAAAAUGGACAGCUACUCUCUUUAAGAAAUUUUACUGUAUUUAAUAUGACCAAAAUUAUAUGAAUGACUAAUCACUUCGUUUUAAAUUGUUAAUUUUAUAAGUUUUGUCAAUGUAAAUUUAAAAAAUAUUACCUACUAAAUAGGACAUUUUAUGGAUUUAAAAUUUUCAAUAAAUGAUGCCAAUUUAUAUUUAAAAAAUGUAUCAAAUUGAUAUUUUAAAAGUCAAUAUCUCUUCAAUGAAAAUUGAAAAAUAAGGAUAGGCAGAUUUUUCAAAAUGUGAUUCUUAAAAAAAUGAUAUGAUUAUCUAAUUUAUUUAAAAAUAAAUUUCAAUAAAACAAUCCAAGACUAUGACAAAUGUUAAAACUUAAACGACAGUACUUUGAUACUUUCAUUAAUUUAAAUUACGUGUGUACUACAUAAAUUAUUUCGAUAAAAUUAUAACUUUAUUGAAAGUUAAAUUAUAUAAUUAGUACCGGUGAGCAUUUGAUUGAAUAAUAUACCAUUUAUUUAAAAGUUUCUAAUUAAUUAUUCAUCAUUUUUUGAUGAAAAAACAAAUUUAAAUUAUAGUUUAAAAUAUAUUAUUAUUGGUAAGGGUAUAAUAGUCCAAACAAUAUUUUUUUAUCCAAUCCCUUAAAUAAUUAUGAAAAAAAUAAUCAUGUCCAUGAGAUUAUUUUAAGUUAUCCAAUGAAUAAUCUCAUGAAAAACAAACAUGUGACUAGGAUUAAUAGUCUUUAAAUAAUCCAUGAAUUAUAAUCCUUGUAAAAUAAUCCUUGCAAAUCUAGAAUUAAUAGUCUUUGCCAUGGACUAUAAUCCUUGCAAACAAAAUGGCCUUGGGAUUAAUAUUCAUUCCAAGUUAAUCCUUGCAAACAAACAUAUAUAACCUUAAAUUUCUUUAAAUUCAAAUAAAUACAAAAUUAUAAACACUUUAUCCCAAUAAAUAAUUCAUUACCAGAUAUAUUUCUGCAACAAAAUUGAACUUAGAAAGUAAUUAAAAUUGUUUGAAGAUUUUUUAUUAUAUAUUUUUCAUCUAAUAGUACAAACAAAUCUUCCAAAUUAUUACAAUCGCUAAUUAGAAAUUUUAUCUUCAAAAUUAUAGAGAUCCAGUAAUUAUUAGAAAUUGAAUGUUCAAAAACACCAAAGACAAACGAGAGAGAGAGAGAGAGAGUACGUACGUACCAUAUCUGAGGGUUGUUGCCACCGUAGUUUCGUCGGAGACUUAGAUUACCCUAAGCCCUACUGUGUCACUCACUUCCCUUCUCUGUCACUUUCCAAGUGUAUCGCGCAUCUUCCUCUAAUCUCCACCAAAAAAUGAUUUAUAUGAUUCUGUAUCUAGGUAAACGUGUUUUACAAUUACUGCGUACGAUUUACUAUAGUAGUUUGAUUAGAAAAUCUCCG